AUUGAAUCCCCCAAAAGCAUGCAUCAAGAAGGGAUUCCAGACAAGAUCCAGUGGCUUCCAGAGAGCUCUGCUGGCAUAGAGGCCUGUGAGCAAUUUGCUCUUCUUACACUCCAAGUCUCUGCGGUGAGAUGUCAACACCCCUUUGGAAUGUACCCCAGGGUCCAAGAAGGAGCAGUGGGUUCAUGUGCAGAGACUACAUUGUCCUUUCCCGUAGGGGAAGUGGGAGAAGAUUCUCCAUCUAAAAUACAAAGGGUUUCAUGAAAUGAAGAAACUUAAACUUGCAGAGGGAACCACUCCAAGGAGCCGAGUCUCAUGCUAACCUCUCUUUCAUGGUUAUUUUUGAUGCUAGAUCCACUGAAAUGCAUUAUGCUGCAUUGAUAUAUGGGAUACACAGUUU
This 397-nucleotide long non-coding RNA is filed under the name Homo sapiens (human). Its description in RNAcentral is "HSALNT0387078". The record is from RNAcentral. Lineage: Eukaryota; Metazoa; Chordata; Mammalia; Primates; Hominidae.